GGAGCGCGGCGGGCUCCGAGCGGCCGGAACGGGAGCAGGAACGCGGCGGGGAUCGGAGCGGCAGCGGGGCAACGGGAUCGGAGGGCGCAGCCGGGAGUAAAGCGGGGCUUUAAUCAGCCUGCGGCACCGCUCCGCUCGCCGAGCCGUGCCGGGGAGCCGCGCUCCGCUCCUGCCGCGGCGAGGAGGUUUGGGCGGCCCCAAAUCCUCCACACUGGGGGCAGCGUCCCCGACAGCCGCGCCUGACCCUGACAGCUCCGGGAAACCUGGCCGAGAGAGGCGGGGAAUUGCCGACCUCGACCUUUCCGGCCGCUCGGGGGCCGGACCGCAGGACAGCGGCGCCGGGCGCUGAACUCGCCCCGACCCGGUCGCGCUGAGGCGGGGUCCGAGCGCGGGGCCGCCCGGGGAGCGCCCCCGCCCCAGGGACCGGCCCCGCACUCGCGGCCCCUCAUCCGCACCCGGGCUCGGUCCGUCCCCGCACCGCCGAAACGAGUUCGCAUUCGCGCUGCAUGUAAGAGAAACACGAGCAGCUCCCCGAAAACGGGGAAGAACCGUAAGAACCGGGCGCCCCCACAACCGCAUCCCCAAGCGCUUUUCUUUGAGGCUUUCAGAAACUUAGUCCGGCAGCGCAGCGCAGACACGCGAACUGGUUUAACCCUUGCGUACAUUUAUUACCAGUGACCCGCUCAAGCGAGCUCACCCCAGGCAAAGGGUAGAACUCAUCUGAGCAUGUCUCAUUAGGGAAGCUCGUUUACAUCCCAGUCUCCCAGACUGUUUAACUUGCAUGCAACUUGGCUUCAUAACCUCUCUGGGACCAGAAAUUCUGUCUGUUUUGCAAAUGGGUAAUGCAGUGGAAGACAGCUGCUGAGGAGAAUGAGACUUGUUUUUUUUAGGAAGGCACUUUCAGUUUACGCUGCAGAAUACCAAGAGAUGAGAUACUACUGCAUUUAAUAUCGUGUUCCUGUUACUAUUCAACAGAAUCUGCACUGCCCCCUCACUGGUAUCGGCACCACUGCUUAUGGAGCUGCACUGAGUAGCGGGUGGGAAUGCCAUCACAUACAUUAACAACUCCGGCAGAAGCCUAACAGAAAAGCCACCCGGAAAGAUCCGUGUUGGAAUUCAUAUGUCCCCACUAUCUGCAGUUUACUACCCUCUUUCUUCAUGUGAUCCAGUUUGUGAAAGCUGCAGAAUACAACAGUCUGAACGAUAAAAGCUGUGCAAAAAGGAUUUGGAAAUGAUACAACUAUAUAUGCAAUUUAAUACACACCCAAAAUAGUAACACUGUCAUGUACUAUAAUUUAAAACUUUUGCCUACAAGACUAGUGCCUGAACUAGGCUAUAAAUGAAUGAGUUCUUAUUUGCUUUCAGACUGAUUACAUAUCACUGUGUAUGGGUGGGGUGUUAUAAUUUCAAGUACAUAUAUAACAGGCAAUGUUUUUUUCCACAAGUGAAAGGAUCUAUAUGCCAGUUUAAUGGUGUAAUCUUCUCUGGGGAUGUCUUUUCAGUUAUACAUACUCAAAAGUCAAGUCCAGCAUCCUCAGGGAAACUAAGCUGAACCUCAACUUUUUGAUUAUGCCACUGAGCCAUAUCUAAAAGAGAAGGAAAAUCACUAGCCAGCAAUCCUCUUACAGAGAAAACACAAAGUAAAGAGAGCAAAAGCUAUAGCGAGAUUCCUACUUUUCCAGCUAUAGCUAAGCUCUUAGAGAUAGUGGAGGCACUUGCCUAUAUAGGAGGACCAGAAAGUGCAAGAGGAAUGAAUGACUUAGGAUUAUUAUUUUACAGAACUCAACAUUUGUCCCAACAUCACCUGGACAGACAGAGCCCAUUUAACCAUUCUCUUGCCUAAAAUGUAUCUGAAAGCACAGAGGGUUUGAGGGAGCUUGUUUUGUAUUGUCAGAAAGGAAUGAGCUUCCUUUAUAUGGCUUGUUCCAGAGAUUCAAGUUCUUAUGUGUCUGGGGAAAACACAUUAUAGUGAAAGCAGUUAUUCUCUUAGAUACAGCAGUGGUAAUGACACAAAUUAUGCAGAGACUCUUCUGUCUUGAAAUUUAUUUUUCCCUGUUUAAAUUUUAAUGGAUUCAGAAAUGUUAUCCUAAGAAUUGCAAGGGUUAAAAGUGAUUUAUGAGUUUCUCCUUUAUGGUUUUAUGUUAAAAUGUGUAAUCCCUCUAAAAUACUGUGCUAGACACACCUUGAAUUCUUGAUUUAGUCAUUUUCACCAGCAACUCAUUUCACAAAAUAAUCUUUUAGGAUUAAGUAGUAAGACAAAGGGGACCAAAAAAAAAAUAAAUCAAAAAAUGUCUGACUUAAUGCUCUGUUUUUGUUUUUGUUUUUUUUUUUUUUAAAUCUUAAUCCAAAACAUUUUGUGUUCUGACAUACAAAACAAUAAUAAUAUUAAAAUCACAAUUUAUUAGGUAAACACAAUUUGAGCUG
Molecule: RNA transcript, 2424 nt
Organism: Corapipo altera (White-ruffed manakin)
Lineage: Eukaryota; Metazoa; Chordata; Aves; Passeriformes; Pipridae
Gene name: collagen alpha-2(I) chain-like
Exons: 4
Source: RefSeq, a predicted model, not a curated record